RNAcentral lists this long non-coding RNA (215 nucleotides) under Brassica rapa (field mustard). RNAcentral's name for it is "long non-coding RNA (BRAP_LNC008711)". Lineage: Eukaryota; Viridiplantae; Streptophyta; Magnoliopsida; Brassicales; Brassicaceae. The record is from RNAcentral.
ACGGACACACACGGACACACACGGACAUCCACAGACGUCCUGUGUGUGCUGACGGACACCCACAGACGUCCUGUGUGUUCUGACGGACACCCACGGACGUCCUGUGUGUACUGAACAGACAGCCCACGUGGGCCAAAAUCACCCGAACAGUCCACAGGAAGGGCCAGCAUGCUAAGUUCAAGUACCAACUUGCUGAUAUUGUACUGAUGGACAGC